This 353-nucleotide unclassified non-coding RNA is filed under the name soil metagenome. Its description in RNAcentral is "partial contains 5.8S ribosomal RNA, internal transcribed spacer 2, and large subunit ribosomal RNA". The stretch from base 1 to 120 matches the Rfam family "5.8S ribosomal RNA", at positions 35 to 154 of the family's 154-position model. The record is from RNAcentral.
GAUGAAGAACGCAGCGAAAUGCGAUAAGUAAUGUGAAUUGCAGAAUUCAGUGAAUCAUCGAAUCUUUGAACGCACAUUGCGCCCGCCAGUAUUCUGACGGGCAUGCCUGUUCGAGCGUCAUUACAACCCUCAGGCCCCCGGGCCUGGCGUUGGGGAUCGGCGGAAGCCCCCUGCGGGCACAACGCCGUCCCCCAAAUACAGUGGCGGUCCCGCCGCAGCUUCCAUUGCGUAGUAGCUAACACCUCGCAACUGGAGAGCGGCGCGGCCACGCCGUAAAACACCCAACUUCUGAAUGUUGACCUCGAAUCAGGUAGGAAUACCCGCUGAACUUAAGCAUAUCAAUAAGCGGAGGA